This 253-nucleotide ribosomal RNA is filed under the name uncultured bacterium. RNAcentral's name for it is "partial 16S ribosomal RNA". It matches the Rfam family "Bacterial small subunit ribosomal RNA", at positions 524 to 776 of the family's 1533-position model. The record is from RNAcentral.
UACGAAGGGGGCGAGCGUUGUUCGGAAUUACUGGGCGUAAAGCGUGCGCAGGCGGUGCACCAAGCUCGAUGUGAAAGCCCCGGGCUUAACCUGGGAAUUGCAUUGAGGACUGGUGUGCUCGAGUGCGGCAGAGGGGGGUGGAAUUCCACGUGUAGCAGUGAAAUGCGUAGAGAUGUGGAGGAACACCGAUGGCGAAGGCAGCCCCCUGGGCCGACACUGACGCUCAUGCACGAAAGCGUGGGGAGCAAACAGG